AUACGUAGGGGGCGAGCGUUGUCCGGAUUUAUUGGGCGUAAAGGGUGCGUAGGCGGCCUUGUAAGUCAGAUGUGAAAGAUCAUGGCUUAACUGUGGAAAGCAUUUGAAACUGCAGGGCUUGAGUACAGGAGAGGAGAGUGGAAUUCCUAGUGUAGCGGGGAAAUGCGUAGAUAGUAGGAGGAAUACCAGGUGCGAAGGCGUCUCUCUGGACUGAUACUGACGCUGAGGCACGAAAGCGUGGGGAACAAACAGGAUUAGAUUCCCUGGUAGUCCACGCUAUAAACGAUGAGUGCUAGGUGUCGGGGGUCAAACCUCGGUGCCGCAGUUAACACAUUAAGCACUCCGCCUGGGGAGUACGGCCGCAAGGCUGAAACUCAAAGGAAUUGACGGGG
This 392-nucleotide ribosomal RNA is filed under the name uncultured bacterium. RNAcentral's name for it is "partial 16S ribosomal RNA". It matches the Rfam family "Bacterial small subunit ribosomal RNA", at positions 523 to 918 of the family's 1533-position model. The record is from RNAcentral.